CCGCCCCGCCCCUUCCUCCUCCCAGACCCCGCCCCUUCCCUUCUCGCCACCCAGCCCUCGCCAUGCACACACAUGCACAUACACACACACGGGCCACCGUCCACGCCAACAUACCUGACUUGCAGCAGGCGCGGUGGGCGGGGGCAUCGGCGUGCGACGGGCUGGGAGGCGGGAGGAGCGCCGGGAGCCCACGCCGCGGCUGCUGCCUGGUCCCAGUCUUCUCGGGGGUCCACGCCGCCUUGGACCGCCUCUUCCACACACUACCUUUUCAAGCUGCAUUUCCGUAGUUUUCCCUGUUCCCGAUCCCGCCCCUCAGACCGACUGCCGGCCUCAGCUCUGGGGCGCCCAGGGGUCAACAGACCUCAGGAUCUCUCCCUACUCCAUAGAGAAAUCUAAUUCAGGAAAGCCACUGAGAAACUUGUCUCCACCAAGAUAAAGAAACUGAAGCUCAAGAAGUAAAGUAACGGCCAAGGUCACACAACUAGUGACUGGGUUGGGUGUGACUGAGCAACCACUGUGUGCCAGGGUCUAAGAAUACAGGAAACAAGACACUCCUCUCUUUUCUCUACCUAAUGAACACCUAGUCACCCUUCAGGAGCAAACUAAAAAUGUCAUCUCUUAUGAAACUUUCCGUAAGCCCCUUGCCACCCACAAGUAGAGUUGAUAACUUGCUUUUUUGUAUACCCCUCUGAAAUAGCACUU
This 702-nucleotide long non-coding RNA is filed under the name Physeter macrocephalus (sperm whale). Its description in RNAcentral is "Physeter catodon (sperm whale) lncRNA (ENSPCTG00005008869.1)". The record is from RNAcentral. Lineage: Eukaryota; Metazoa; Chordata; Mammalia; Artiodactyla; Physeteridae.